Molecule: ribosomal RNA, 690 nt
Filed under: Hoplobatrachus rugulosus (rugose frog)
Lineage: Eukaryota; Metazoa; Chordata; Amphibia; Anura; Dicroglossidae
Description: partial 12S rRNA
Rfam family: Bacterial small subunit ribosomal RNA
Source: RNAcentral
ACCUAGUCCCACCACACCCCCAAGGGUACUCAGCAGUGAUAAACAUUGUCUAUAAGCGCCAGCUUGACCCAGUUAUAAAGAAGAGGGCCGGCCAACUUGGUGCCAGCCGCCGCGGCUAGACCAACUGGACUCAAAUUGAUAAUUCCCGGCGUUAAGCGUGAUUAAAGCCACACACCAAUUAGAGUUAAACCUAUGUUGAGCAGUGAAAAGCACACGAUAGGGAAACCCAGAAACGAAAGUUACUCUAAUCUCUGCUUGAAUACACGACAGCUAGAAUACAAACUGGGAUUAGAUACCCCACUAUGUCUAGCCGUAAACUAUUAACCCACAUCAACCCCGCGCCAGGGAACUACGAGCCUUAGCUUAAAACCCAAAGGACUUGACGGUGUCCCACCCAACUAGAGGAGCCUGUUCUAUAAUCGAUAACCCCCGCUUCACCCAACCCCCCCUUGCUUUAUCAGCCUGUAUACCUCCGUCGUAAACCCGCCGUAUGAAUGUACUUAAGCGGAUUCAAUGGUCUCCCACCAACACGUCAGGUCAAGGUGCAGCCAAUGGAGGUGGUAAGUAAUGGGCUACAAUUUCUAAUCUAGAACAAACGAAGUACUGCAUGAAACACAGUCAUGAAGGAGGAUUUAGUAGUAAAAAGAAAGUAGCGUGUUCUUUUUAACACGGCCCUGGGACGUGUACACA